GAUGAACGCUGGCAGAAUGCUUAACACAUGCAAGUCAAAUUGAACUUCGGUUUGGGUGGCGGACGGGUGAGUAACGCGUAAAGAACUUGCCUCACAGAAAGGGACAACAUUUGGAAACGAAUGCUAAUACCGGGUAUUAUAAUUAUAUAGCGUAGUAUAAUUAUGAAUGCAAUAUGCGGUGUGUCGGAGCUUUGGGUUCUAUAAGCGAGUUGGAGAGGUAACGGCUCAGGCAGGCGAUGAUGGGUAGCCGGCCUGGGAGGGUGAUCGGCCACAAGCGCACUGGGACACGGCCCUUACUCCUACGUGAGGCAUCAGUGGGGAAUUGUGGACAACGGACCAAGAGGCUGAUGCAGCAAUUCUGUGUGCACGAUGAAGUUUUUCGGAAUGAAAAGUGCUUUCAGUUGAGAAGAAAAAAAUGACGGUACCAACAGAAGAAGCGACGGCUAACUACGUG
This 454-nucleotide ribosomal RNA is filed under the name uncultured bacterium. RNAcentral's name for it is "partial 16S ribosomal RNA". It matches the Rfam family "Bacterial small subunit ribosomal RNA", at positions 28 to 507 of the family's 1533-position model. The record is from RNAcentral.